This 282-nucleotide unclassified non-coding RNA is filed under the name Hevea brasiliensis (rubber tree). Lineage: Eukaryota; Viridiplantae; Streptophyta; Magnoliopsida; Malpighiales; Euphorbiaceae. The record is from RNAcentral.
AAAAAGUUGAACACUCAGCACACGAUCACUGGUUAGGCCUGAAAGAGACGCCAUGGACCAAAGGGCAGAGCAUCCAAUGACAAUAACGCCUACACUUGCCUUCCUUUGGAUAUCCUUUGUCCCUCUCUCUCUUUUUCCUAUAUAUACACACACACACACAUAUCUGGACUUGUCCUGAGCCAGUAGUUGGUGGGUUUGUUCUUUCGAAAAAGAUCAGCACUCUAUUAUUUUAAUCCGGUCACAACACCAACAAGAAACCUGGAGUGGAGGAAAGGGAAAGUG